GAAGCUUCCCGUCGUCCGAGCCGUCGCUGCUCCUAGCAACCCGUCGCCGCUGUCGACCCUCGUUUUCUUCCCCGGCGCAUUGCUCUCCUCUCUCUUGGCCUCCUUGCUCGAUUCAUUCUUCCCCACAGGAAACCUUAGGGCUUAUGGAAAUCCAUCUGAGGAAUGUAAAUAUGAUUUGGAAACUUUAUAAGUGAUGAAGAAAAACCAAGUGUGCAUGCCUCUAGUUUGGACUUUGAGGAAGAAAUAACAUAAAUCCAAGAUUUUUGCCAUUGAAAUCCAUGAUGGAGGAGACAACCUAUGAUUUCAAGUCCUAAAUUUUGACAGUUGAAUAUAAUACCAAGAAGAAAGGAUUGAAUUCCAAACCGCCCCAUCUUUGUAAGCAUG
Lactuca sativa (garden lettuce) is the source of this 384-nucleotide long non-coding RNA. RefSeq lists it as uncharacterized. Lineage: Eukaryota; Viridiplantae; Streptophyta; Magnoliopsida; Asterales; Asteraceae. The record is from RefSeq and is a predicted model, not a curated record.